This 119-nucleotide ribosomal RNA is filed under the name Pteropus alecto (black flying fox). Lineage: Eukaryota; Metazoa; Chordata; Mammalia; Chiroptera; Pteropodidae. The record is from RNAcentral.
GUCUUCAGCCAUGCUAUCCUGAACAAGCACAAAGCAGUCUGAUCUCGGAAGCUAAGCAGGGUCGGGCCUGGUUAGUACUUGGAUGGGAGACCACCUAGGAAGACCAGGUGCUGUAGGCG